UACGGAGGGUGCAAGCGUUAUCCGGAUUCACUGGGUUUAAAGGGUGCGUAGGUGGGCAAGUAAGUCAGUGGUGAAAUCUCCGGGCUUAACCCGGAAACUGCCAUUGAUACUAUUUGUCUUGAAUACUGUGGAGGUCAGCGGAACAUGUCAUGUAGCGGUGAAAUGCUUAGAUAUGACAUAGAACACCAAUUGCGAAGGCAGCUGGCUACACAAAUAUUGACACUGAGGCACGAAAGCGUGGGGAUCAAACAGG
This 253-nucleotide ribosomal RNA is filed under the name uncultured bacterium. RNAcentral's name for it is "partial 16S ribosomal RNA". It matches the Rfam family "Bacterial small subunit ribosomal RNA", at positions 524 to 776 of the family's 1533-position model. The record is from RNAcentral.